GGGCCGGUAGUCUAGUGGCAAGACGCCGUCUUCGCAAGGCGGAGAGCCCGGGUUCAAAUCCCGGCCGGUCCA
This 72-nucleotide transfer RNA is filed under the name Methanomethylicia archaeon. Its description in RNAcentral is "Candidatus Methanomethylicia archaeon tRNA-Ala". It matches the Rfam family "tRNA". From Rfam's summary of the family: Transfer RNA (tRNA) molecules are approximately 80 nucleotides in length. Their secondary structure includes four short double-helical elements and three loops (D, anti-codon, and T loops). The record is from RNAcentral. Lineage: Archaea; Thermoproteati; Thermoproteota; Methanosuratincolia.